This 1055-nucleotide ribosomal RNA is filed under the name Lysobacter prati. Its description in RNAcentral is "bacterial SSU rRNA". It matches the Rfam family "Bacterial small subunit ribosomal RNA", at positions 35 to 1079 of the family's 1533-position model. Lineage: Bacteria; Pseudomonadati; Pseudomonadota; Gammaproteobacteria; Lysobacterales; Lysobacteraceae. The record is from RNAcentral.
GCUGGCGGCAGGCCUAACACAUGCAAGUCGAACGGCAGCACAGCAGUAGCAAUACUGUGGGUGGCGAGUGGCGGACGGGUGAGGAAUGCAUCGGAAUCUGCCUAUUUGUGGGGGAUAACGUAGGGAAACUUACGCUAAUACCGCAUACGUCCUACGGGAGAAAGUGGGGGACCUUCGGGCCUCACGCAGAUAGAUGAGCCGAUGCCGGAUUAGCUAGUUGGCGGGGUAAAGGCCCACCAAGGCGACGAUCCGUAGCUGGUCUGAGAGGAUGAUCAGCCACACUGGAACUGAGACACGGUCCAGACUCCUACGGGAGGCAGCAGUGGGGAAUAUUGGACAAUGGGCGCAAGCCUGAUCCAGCCAUGCCGCGUGUGUGAAGAAGGCCUUCGGGUUGUAAAGCACUUUUGUCCGGAAAGAAAAGCUUCGGGUUAAUAACCCGGGGUUAUGACGGUACCGGAAGAAUAAGCACCGGCUAACUUCGUGCCAGCAGCCGCGGUAAUACGAAGGGUGCAAGCGUUACUCGGAAUUACUGGGCGUAAAGCGUGCGUAGGUGGUUUGUUAAGUCUGAUGUGAAAGCCCUGGGCUCAACCUGGGAACUGCAUUGGAAACUGGCUGACUAGAGUGCGGUAGAGGGGUGUGGAAUUCCCGGUGUAGCAGUGAAAUGCGUAGAUAUCGGGAGGAACAUCUGUGGCGAAGGCGACACCCUGGACCAGCACUGACACUGAGGCACGAAAGCGUGGGAGCAAACAGGAUUAGAUACCCUGGUAGUCCACGCCCUAAACGAUGCGAACUGGAUGUUGGGGGCAACUUGGCCCUCAGUAUCGAAGCUAACGCGUUAAGUUCGCCGCCUGGGAAGUACGGGUCGCAAGACUGAAACUCAAAGGAAUUGACGGGGGCCCGCACAAGCGGUGGAGUAUGUGGUUUAAUUCGAUGCAACGCGAAGAACCUUACCUGNNNCUUGACAUGCACGGAACUUUNCAGAGAUGGAUUGGUGCCCUNGGNACCCGUGACACAGNGCUGCAUGNUGUCGUCAGCUCGUGUCGUGANAUGUUGGG